GUUGAUUAUCGAAUUUCUGAUUCCAUAUUCCCCUGCAACAUGGGAAAUUCAUGGAACGGGUGGCCAAUUUAUAAUUCACUCACUAUAGUUAGCAGUCUACAAGAGGUGUCUGCAGAUAUUCCUGUGAACGGCUACAUAGACUGUCUUGUCUGUUUUCAAGUCCUUUAGCAAUUUCUUUAUGCCUAAUUUACUCAUUCUCUAUACUUCUCAUAUGAGAAUUCACCAUGUUUCUAUUUGAAUAGGAAUACAUGGGCGGC
This 257-nucleotide long non-coding RNA is filed under the name Ricinus communis (castor bean). RNAcentral describes it as "long non-coding RNA (RCOM_LNC001517)". Lineage: Eukaryota; Viridiplantae; Streptophyta; Magnoliopsida; Malpighiales; Euphorbiaceae. The record is from RNAcentral.